UGAGAUCCCGAGCGAGCUGAAACCAUUAGGUUGCCUGGAACCUGCAAAGAUCAUAGAAACGUUACUUGAAAAGGCAAACAGACAGAGCAAGAGCAAUUCUCCCAUUCAAAUGCUUACCUUCUUUACACGUAUGUAUCCUUCAAUUCGACAUCCUCCUGUAGAAGGUGCCUUUUUUAAAGUUUUGGAUGCAUUAUCUGAUUUGUCCUCUAAUGCUAGUUUAUGAGGCUCUAGAUGGAUUGGUUCAACCAGACCUAUCACCAUCUGUAGGAGAACGCAAGAAAUAAGCUACAAAUGAAGCACAAAAACAAACUCUUCUCUAACUUGUAUAAGGGGUACGAAAAAGAUGCUGAAAAGAGACCUAGAACAAUAACUACCUUCACUAAGCUUUCUGUAUCACGAUCUCCAUAGUACGAUUCAUGAUCAUGGUGUGCAUUGUCCCUAUUAAGCAAAGAAUCAACAAGAGGAGGAAACAGAGGUUAUAAGAAUCGAGCAAGUGACGGUGAGGCAUAAUUUAAACAAGUAAACUAGGAGUUACAUUCUCUUACCUAAGAUCACUGCCUUGACGGAAAAUGCGAAUGGAUGGAUACCCUUGAAUGUGAUUCCUGGAGAUCAUUUGCAAAGGAAAAUUGUGAGAAUAAGUUAAACUGCUGACAGAGGAUUCAAGAGAAUGCCUUAUGCUAUAGCAAAUGAAGAAGUCAAGAUGGAAAAAUAUCAAAUAUGAUGGGACAUACUUCCGACAGAGAUCAGCUUCUUGGGUGCAGUCAACUUUUGCCAAAAUGACACGUCCGUCCAUUUCUGGAUCAUAUCUACGAAAAGCAAGAAAAUUAUAAGAAAAUAAUAGUACCACAGAUUCUUCAUCUAAAGAGAGUAUAUUGGCAUACCUCUCUUUUAUUUGUUUUGCUGCUUUCUCCCAUGAUGGUUUCUGGCAAUGUAGAAUAAAGUUUAGUCUUCGAGUAAGAUCAUCAAAAUUACCAGUGUAGUGUGCAUAAAGUGUUAACAAAACUACUUUUUGAUAUGCAGCAAAUUCUAGAAUAUGAAGACACGAAGACAAAAGAUGCGGGACUUACCAGGAGAUUACACCAAUAGCACCACGGAGCAUAGAAAUUAACAACGGAGAUAGGAUAUCUGCAAGUUAUAUGAUUCAUAUGUUGUCAUCAGAAGC
RNAcentral lists this long non-coding RNA (1162 nucleotides) under Brassica napus (rape). RNAcentral's name for it is "long non-coding RNA (BNAP_LNC020859)". Lineage: Eukaryota; Viridiplantae; Streptophyta; Magnoliopsida; Brassicales; Brassicaceae. The record is from RNAcentral.